AAGACCAAAGUAUCUUCAAAAGCCUUACACUUGUUUUAUUUGGACUUCCUCCCCAGUUGUCACUUACAGGAAGACUCAAAGUCCAAAUCCUAAGGAAUACCAAAAAUGGAAUAGAAAACAAAGACACCGACGUGGAAAUAAAAACUGGGAAUCAUUCUGGAACAUUCAUAGUUCUAGCUAUGGCCAUAAAAAGUGACUUCAACAAGACCUUCAGAAGAAUAGCUCGUCUCUUUUACUGGUUCCCCAAAUCACUGACCUGCUCAAAGAAUCGGAAAUCCAAAUUGGUCUGGAGCCAAGGUAGAGGAGUGGAAUGGCUGGGUCAUACGGUAGAUGUAUACCGACCUAUGAAGAAACUGCAGGCUACCCAGCAGCCGCGUACCGAAGGAGUUCUGUUUGCUCUUCUCCAACACUUGCCAUGGUCCCUUCCGUCUUAGCCAUUCUAAUAGAGGGUAAAUAUAUAUGUCAUUCUUACUGCCGAGACCUGGUACAUCUGGAUUAUCCACAGAAUGGGAAAGCACCAAGCCGCGUGCCAGCUCGCGAAGUAAGACAUUCAAGCAAAAAGAAUACUCAGAAUAGCCUCUGGAUUCCACCAGUGCAGGAGCUGUAGAUGGGCACUUCCUCAUCUGUGUGGGGCUCUCACUC
This is a non-coding RNA of Leptonychotes weddellii (Weddell seal), 642 nucleotides long. Lineage: Eukaryota; Metazoa; Chordata; Mammalia; Carnivora; Phocidae. The record is from RefSeq and is a predicted model, not a curated record.